GGGGGCCCGCAAGCGGUGGAGCAUGUGGUUUAAUUCGAAGCAACGCGCAGAACCUUACCGGGGCUUGACAUGGGGAGGUCGUGAUCAGAGAUGGUCAUUUCCCGCAAGGGACCUCCUGCACAGGUGCUGCAUGGCCGUCGUCAGCUCGUGUCGUGAGAUGUUGGGUUAAGUCCCGCAACGAGCGCAACCCUCGCCUUUAGUUGCCAGCAUGUUUGGGUGGGCACUCUAAAGGAACUGCCGGUGACAAGCCGGAGGAAGGUGGGGAUGACGUCAAGUCCUCAUGGCCCUUAUGUCCUGGGCUACACACGUGCUACAAUGGCGGUGACAGUGGGAAGCCAAGCAGCGAUGCUGAGCUGAUCUCUAAAAGCCGUCUCAGUUCGGAUUGCACUCUGCAACUCGGGUGCAUGAAGGUGGAAUCGCUAGUAAUCGUGGAUCAGCAUGCCACGGUGAAUACGUUCCCGGGCCUUGUACACACC
Molecule: ribosomal RNA, 476 nt
Filed under: uncultured bacterium
Lineage: Bacteria
Description: bacterial SSU rRNA
Rfam family: Bacterial small subunit ribosomal RNA
Source: RNAcentral